RNAcentral lists this ribosomal RNA (250 nucleotides) under uncultured bacterium. Its description in RNAcentral is "partial 16S ribosomal RNA". It matches the Rfam family "Bacterial small subunit ribosomal RNA", at positions 524 to 773 of the family's 1533-position model. The record is from RNAcentral.
UACGAAGGGGGCUAGCGUUGUUCGGAUUUACUGGGCGUAAAGGGCGCGUAGGCGGUGUCGUCAGUCAGGCGUGAAAGCCCCGGGCUCAACCUGGGAAUUGCGCUUGAUACUGCGGCGCUUGAAUCCAGGAGAGGAUGGCGGAAUUCCCAGUGUAGAGGUGAAAUUCGUAGAUAUUGGGAAGAACACCGGUGGCGAAGGCGGCCAUCUGGCCUGGCAUUGACGCUGAGGCGCGAAAGCGUGGGGAGCAAAC